Pseudophryne corroboree (corroboree frog) is the source of this 465-nucleotide long non-coding RNA. RefSeq lists it as uncharacterized. NCBI's taxonomy places the organism in Eukaryota, Metazoa, Chordata, Amphibia, Anura, Myobatrachidae. The transcript is spliced from 3 exons. The record is from RefSeq and is a predicted model, not a curated record.
CAUUAGCUACCUCACAAGUCCUCCUUCUCCUGUACUGCACUGAACGUGGGAUACAGCCAUAAGAUGGAGACAGCUUCCUCAUACAGAUCACCAGGCACGUAAACAACAGUGAAAUGCCUGAUCCCCAGCUCUUUUAUCACCAUAUCAUCCAGCAAGGUUUAAUGUUGAGGGCACCAUAGUGUGGGAAAGCUAUCAUUAACUGGCCCCAGCAAACAUCACUGUACUACUGCUGAGGGGGAAGAGGUUUCUUUAAAGAAACAGUCUAUUAAAAAGCUGAACCAAAAACCGAAUCCAAAUCAGAAACUUGAGGAAGAGAAUUUUACAGAGACGCGUAUAACUUCUUCAACCUGAAAACCAGAACCAUUUGUGACGUCAGAGGCACAUAAACAUUAUUAAACAUGUUACUGUACAUAGGACAUCAUAUGCAAUUAUUAAAUGAUCGGUAAAAAGAAAAUAAGAAGUGUU